GGUGGAUGAUGCUUUUGCUGCACCCUGAUUGUUGACAAAUGACUGAUAAUCUGGAACAAAUGAAACUGUGAGGGCUUGUAUCUCAAUCGAUCGAUCUAACCUGACCCAAAAUUGCAGUAUUGCACGUCCUCUGUAAGCUUGAUCCGUAAACAGGGCAAGGCUUAUUAUCCAUUAAGUUAGCCCAAAAAUAGUUGGAUUGAUAGGAGGAACACGUCUUACAAUGAUAUUCCCUCAAAGCCUAUAUAGCUUCAAGUAAUCCCAAUUCCCAGAGGACCGUUUAGGUGACCGUGUUGAUUACUUCUCCAUCAAAAUUUAAGUUUGAGUAGAGCUUUCCGGCAGGGGAUCCUAAGAUCGUUAUAGUGA
RNAcentral lists this unclassified non-coding RNA (363 nucleotides) under Hevea brasiliensis (rubber tree). Lineage: Eukaryota; Viridiplantae; Streptophyta; Magnoliopsida; Malpighiales; Euphorbiaceae. The record is from RNAcentral.